Molecule: ribosomal RNA, 520 nt
Filed under: uncultured Glomus
Lineage: Eukaryota; Fungi; Glomeromycota; Glomeromycetes; Glomerales; Glomeraceae
Description: SSU rRNA
Rfam family: Eukaryotic small subunit ribosomal RNA
Source: RNAcentral
AGCAGCCGCGGUAAUUCCAGCUCCAAUAGCGUAUAUUAAAGUUGUUGCAGUUAAAAAGCUCGUAGUUGAAUUUCGGGAUCAAUACGUCGGUCGUGCUUCGGUACGUACUGGCGUAAUUGAUUUCUCCCUUCUGACGAACCAUGAUGUCAUUAACUUGGUGUCAUGGGAAAUCAGGACUGUUACUUUGAAAAAAUUAGAGUGUUUAAAGCAGGCUCACGCUUGAAUACAUUAGCAUGGAAUAAUGAAAUAGGACGUUCGAUCCUAUUUUGUUGGUUUUUAGGAUCAACGUAAUGAUUAAUAGGGAUAGUUGGGGGCAUUAGUAUUCAAUUGUCAGAGGUGAAAUUCUUGGAUUUAUUAAAGACUAACUACUGCGAAAGCAUUUGCCAAGGAUGUUUUCAUUAAUCAAGAACGAAAGUUAGGGGAUCGAAGACGAUCAGAUACCGUCGUAGCCUUAACCAUAAACUAUGCCGACUAGGGAUCGGAUGAUGUUAAUUUUUUAAUGUACUCAUUCGGCGCCUUA